AUUGAACGCUGGCGGCAGGCUUAACACAUGCAAGUCGAGCGGGGUGAUGGUGCUUGCACUAUCACUUAGCGGCGGACGGGUGAGUAAUGCUUAGGAAUCUGCCUAUUAGUGGGGGACAACAUCUCGAAAGGGAUGCUAAUACCGCAUACGUCCUACGGGAGAAAGCAGGGGAUCACUUGUGACCUUGCGCUAAUAGAUGAGCCUAAGUCGGAUUAGCUAGUUGGUGGGGUAAAGGCCUACCAAGGCGACGAUCUGUAGCGGGUCUGAGAGGAUGAUCCGCAACACGGGGACUGAGACACGGCCCAGACUCCUACGGGAGGCAGCAGUGGGGAAUAUUGGACAAUGGGGGGAACCCUGAUCCAGCCAUGCCGCGUGUGUGAAGAAGGCCUUAUGGUUGUAAAGCACUUUAAGCGAGGAGGAGGCUCUUUUGGUUAAUACCCAAGAUGAGUGGACGUUACUCGCAGAAUAAGCACCGGCUAACUCUGUGCCAGCAGCCGCCGUAA
Molecule: ribosomal RNA, 503 nt
Filed under: uncultured bacterium
Lineage: Bacteria
Description: partial 16S ribosomal RNA
Rfam family: Bacterial small subunit ribosomal RNA
Source: RNAcentral